UAGGGAAUCUUCGGCAAUGGACGAAAGUCUGACCGAGCAACGCCGCGUGAGUGAAGAAGGUUUUCGGAUCGUAAAACUCUGUUGUUAGAGAAGAACAAGGACGUUAGUAACUGAACGUCCCCUGACGGUAUCUAACCAGAAAGCCACGGCUAACUACGUGCCAGCAGCCGCGGUAAUACGUAGGUUGCAAGCGUUGUCCGGAUUUAUUGGGCGUAAAGCGAGCGCAGGCGGUUUCUUAAGUCGGGUGUGAAAGCCCCCGGCUCAACCGGGGAGGGUCAUUGGAAACUGGGAGGCUUGAGUGCAGAAGAGGAGAGUGGAAUUCCAUGUGUAGCGGUGAAAUGCGUAGAUAUAUGGAGGAACACCAGUGGCGAAGGCGGCUCUCUGGUCUGUAACUGACGCUGGGGCUCGAAAGCGUGGGGAGCAAACAGG
Molecule: ribosomal RNA, 429 nt
Filed under: Gemmatimonadota bacterium
Lineage: Bacteria; Pseudomonadati; Gemmatimonadota
Description: Gemmatimonadetes bacterium partial 16S ribosomal RNA
Rfam family: Bacterial small subunit ribosomal RNA
Source: RNAcentral